This 484-nucleotide ribosomal RNA is filed under the name uncultured bacterium. RNAcentral's name for it is "partial 16S ribosomal RNA". It matches the Rfam family "Bacterial small subunit ribosomal RNA", at positions 30 to 507 of the family's 1533-position model. The record is from RNAcentral.
AUUGAACGCUGGCGGCAGGCCUAGCACAUGCAAGUCGAGCGGAUGAAGGGAGCUUGCUCCUGGAUUCAGCGGCGGACGGGUGAGUAAUGCCUAGGAAUCUGCCUGGUAGUGGGGGAUAACGUCCGGAAACGGGCGCUAAUACCGCAAACGUCCUGAGGGAGAAAGUGGGGGAGCUUGGGACCCCACGCUAUCAGAUGAGCCUAGGUCGGAUUAGCUAGUUGGUGGGGUAAAGGCCUACCAAGGCGACGAUCCGUAACUGGUCUGAGAGGAUGAUCAGUCACACUGGAACUGAGACACGGUCCAGACUCCUACGGGAGGCAGCAGUGGGGAAUAUUGGACAAAGGGCGAAAGCCUGAUCCAGCCAUGCCGCGUGUAUGAAGAAGGUCUUCGGAUUGUAAAGCACUUUAAGUUGGGAGGAAGGGCAGUAAGUUAAUACCUUGCUGUUUUGACGUUACCAGCAGAAUAAGCACCGGCUAACUUCGUG